AAGCGCUUGCAAUCAGACUUGCGCGCGGCCGAUCAUCCGGGGUUCUCCCCGGUGCACUCGGCCGUGCUCAGGCCAGCAUCGGUUUCGGUGGUGGGAUAAAGGCCUUGGGAAUGUGGCUCCUUUCGGGGAGUGUUAUAGCCCUCGGUGCAAUGCCGCCUAUCGGGACCGAGGACCGCGCUUCGGCUAGGAUGCUGGCGUAAUGGUUGCAAGCGA
This 213-nucleotide ribosomal RNA is filed under the name Calycina citrina. RNAcentral describes it as "partial large subunit ribosomal RNA". Lineage: Eukaryota; Fungi; Ascomycota; Leotiomycetes; Helotiales; Pezizellaceae. The record is from RNAcentral.